Lates calcarifer (barramundi perch) is the source of this 1702-nucleotide long non-coding RNA. RefSeq lists it as uncharacterized. The record is from RefSeq and is a predicted model, not a curated record. Lineage: Eukaryota; Metazoa; Chordata; Actinopteri; Centropomidae. The transcript is spliced from 5 exons.
UCGUGCUGGAGGGAUUAUAGAGUCUAAUCUGGUUUGGGAACACCUCAGGGUCCAGCAGGAGGAGCUGGAAAACGUUGCCAGGCAGAGGGAUGUUGGAGCAUCUUGCUCAGUCUGCAGCCACUGUGACCAGACCCUGAACAAGCAGCAGAAAAUGGACGGAUGGAAGAUUUCUCUUCAGUAGCUUGGUGCCACAGACAAGGUGGAGUAAAAGCCUUAUAAUCCAGUGGUGGCGAGCUGUGAGAGGACGGCGUUUGGCUGCAGGUGGAGGGCCGGUGUGCAUUACCUCGGCCUAUCACGGACUCAUUUGAAAGACCUGUUUGAAGCCAGCAGGAGUGGGAGAUGAAAGUCCUGGCACAGCACACUUUGACAUCAUCAAAACACAACUCCCUCACAACACUCAGCAGCUCUAAUGGCUGUGUUAAAAGCCUCUCGCUCCCCGCAGCCCUUCAUUUUCCCAGGAGUGACCCCACUUGCUCCGACGAAGUGCUCUUCACAGGGCUGUCAUCUGAAAAGGUCAGAUCCAGAGAGCGAACGAGGCAUGAGAGAAAUAAGAUGGAGAUCCACGCCAUCCAUCUCGCUGUCUGGAUCAAGACACCACUCUGACCUUUAACAGUGGAUCAGCCUCAACAAACUAUCAAAGUAUGCAGCCAAACUGGGAGCUAAAACGUCAAGAAAAGCAUGAAUAACAGAAGAGCGGCGGUGGUGAUCUGAGCAGCGUUGGAGCUAGCUGUUAGCAUGCUAACUUCAGUCGAAGAAAACAAGUGACAGAACCAGGAGCAGAAGUUUGGUGUUGCUUCCCACCACUGCAGAGAGCUCUUAGUGACAAAAGGAAUGAAGUUUAAUGCUAAAGUCACAACGUUUCUUCUAGACUGGUGAGUAAACAGCUGUUAAUGCUAAUGCUAGCUAUGUAGCGAUAGCAGAAACUUAGAUGUAGCACCUUAAAAGAAGGAUAUAAUCAUCAUUUUAAGUGAUGCUCAUCUAUGGAGAGCCUAUAAAAUGUUUAUGUGUUUUGUCGUUCAAACUUCACAUACUCACUCUAGUUAUCAGCAGGACAAAAGACAUCAGGGGGUCUUAAGGACCAAAAUUUAGACAUCUAAGUUUCCCAUUGUCAUUGUUUCAACAGCAUUUAAAUUACUAAAUUUGAAUGGGAAACAGGCAUCGAGUACAGUGGUUAAAUGUGACCUGAACCUCAAAACAAAGAAAAGAAAAGCCCAGUUUUAACCUGAAGGCCUUGAUGUCCUCUCCAGCAAAUCAAUAAAUCAGUGCUUCAGGGGAAAUGCUUUACAAACGUCUUUUUUUCAGUCCAGUUUGUCGCCGUUUUCUUGAUCCAGUUUCACCGAUGGAAAACUUAAAAAAGCAGAGUGAAACUGAGAGGAUUUAUUAAACAAAAAAUGUCCCUGGCGCGAUAAAACAAAGCAUAAGUGAUCAUUCUUUACACUUCACUAAAUGAUGAUACAGUUAUGUUUAUAAAAUAAAUCUUGACAGUAGUAGACGAUAACUCACUUGUCCUUUUGGCUCAGCUGGAUAAGACACAUACCAUUUACUCACAGCAGGACCGAGUCCAACUAAUGACCUCAGUCACAUCAACCCACAUUUUACUCUUGCUCAUCACUCUUGUGACUCACCGCUGUAUGCUUUCUGCUCGAAUAAAACGAGACUGGUUUGCAAUAAUCCAAACACACACAUAUCACACACACCUGGA